AGCGUAGGCGGAUUUUUAAGUGGGAUGUGAAAUACCCGGGCUUAACCUGGGCGCUGCAUUCCAAACUGGAAGUCUAGAGUGCAGGAGAGGAAAGUGGAAUUCCUAGUGUAGCGGUGAAAUGCGUAGAGAUUAGGAAGAACACCAGUGGCGAAGGCGACUUUCUGGACUGUAACUGACGCUGAGGCUCGAAAGCGUGGGGAGCGAACA
This 207-nucleotide ribosomal RNA is filed under the name uncultured bacterium. Its description in RNAcentral is "partial 16S ribosomal RNA". It matches the Rfam family "Bacterial small subunit ribosomal RNA", at positions 568 to 774 of the family's 1533-position model. The record is from RNAcentral.